Molecule: ribosomal RNA, 468 nt
Filed under: uncultured bacterium
Lineage: Bacteria
Description: partial 16S ribosomal RNA
Rfam family: Bacterial small subunit ribosomal RNA
Source: RNAcentral
GACGAACGCUGGCGGCGUGCUUAACACAUGCAAGUCGAACGGAAAGGCCCUGCUUUUGUGGGGUGCUCGAGUGGCGAACGGGUGAGUAACACGUGAGUAACCUGCCCUUGACUUUGGGAUAACUUCAGGAAACUGGGGCUAAUACCGGAUAGGAGCUCCUGCUGCAUGGUGGGGGUUGGAGAGUUUCGGCGGUUGGGGAUGGACUCGCGGCUUAUCAGCUUGUUGGUGGGGUAGUGGCUUACCAAGGCUUUGACGGGUAGCCGGCCUGGGAGGGUUACCGGCCACAUUGGGACUGCGAUACGGCCCAGUCUCCUACGGGAGGCAGCGGUGGGGAAUAUUGCACAAUGGGCGGAAGCCUGAUGCAGCAACGCCGCGUGCGGGAUGACGGCCUUCGGGUUGUAAACCGCUGUCGCCUGUGACGAAGCGUGAGUGACGGUAAUGGGUAAAGAAGCACCGGCUAACUACGUG